AAUCAACGCUGGCGGCGUGCCUAACACAUGCAAGUCGAACGAUUAAAGCCCUUUCGGGGGUGUAUAGAGUGGCGUACGGGUGAGUAACACGUGGGUAAUCUACCUUUGGGUGGGGAAUAACUCAGGGAAACUUGAGCUAAUACCGCAUAAUGCAGCGGCUCGACAUCGAGACAGUUGUUAAAGAUUUAUCGCCUGAAGAGGAGCCUGCGCCUGAUUAGCUAGUUGGUGGGGUAAGGCUUACCAAGGCUACGAUCAGUAGCUGGUCUGAGAGGACGGCCAGCCACAAUGGCACUGAAACACGGGCCAUACUCCUACGGGAGGCAGC
Molecule: ribosomal RNA, 325 nt
Filed under: uncultured bacterium
Lineage: Bacteria
Description: bacterial SSU rRNA
Rfam family: Bacterial small subunit ribosomal RNA
Source: RNAcentral